This 236-nucleotide unclassified non-coding RNA is filed under the name plant metagenome. Its description in RNAcentral is "partial contains small subunit ribosomal RNA, internal transcribed spacer 1, and 5.8S ribosomal RNA". The record is from RNAcentral.
UUUCCGUAGGUGAACCUGCGGAAGGAUCAUUACUGAGUGAGGGCCCCUCGGGGUCCAACCUCCCACCCGUGUUUAACGAACCUUGUUGCUUCGGCGGGCCCGCCUCACGGCCGCCGGGGGGCAUCUGCCCCCGGGCCCGCGCCCGCCGAAGCCACCUGUGAACGCUGUCUGAAGUAUGCAGUCUGAGACAAUUAUUAAAUUAAUUAAAACUUUCAACAACGGAUCUCUUGGCUCCG